RNA transcript from Gadus macrocephalus (Pacific cod), 1123 nucleotides. RefSeq lists it as uncharacterized. The record is from RefSeq and is a predicted model, not a curated record. NCBI's taxonomy places the organism in Eukaryota, Metazoa, Chordata, Actinopteri, Gadiformes, Gadidae. The transcript has 2 exons.
AUUAAAGGGAUAGUUCACCCAUUUAGAACCGGCGUUCUAUCAUUAUAAAAUCGCUAUUGUAAUGUAAAUUAAUAUAUAAAAAAAUAUCAGUCUAAACCAGUCUCCCCUUGGCCCAUUUUUUCUCAUCUAAUUUUCUCCCGAAAUGACGUCAAAUGACGCGUUUGACGUCAUUUCGGGAGAAACCUCUCUUCCCGCUAGAAGGGCCGAGGACUACAACACACUUUUGGUGGCAAAUUUGCUGGACAUUUUUCCACCAAUAAGGAAUGAGAGGGGGCGGGAGCUUGCACGCUUGCACGCUCAGCUCGCGUACUGAGGGGGAAUGAGAGGGACGGGAGACCGACACAAACCUCUGACCAUGGCAGAAGCAACAGCUGAGUUUGAAAAUAUAUUGCUGCAUUGUGAUAUUCAGGGCUAUUUGUAUGAGCCAGAAUACAGCGAGGAAGAACUGAGACGAUUAGAGGAGGAGGCUGCUGCGGCUGCAGCUGAACAAGCCUUGCCUGUUGCAGAGGAGCCGGAUCGCGCCGGAGUGAACUGGUGGUGUACCUGUUUGCUCUGUUCACCUAUGGAGACUCACAAAGAGUCCCUGUGCUGCAGCAAAUUUCAGCGAUGCCAGUUUCUUCGCGAUGAAAUGGCUGAAUCUGGCGAGGAAGGGGCCGUGUGUGUAACAUCUCACCCAGGCUUUACGCCUCAUCUGAACCGUUGGGUAUUGGACACUUAUUUCCGGACCCAGAAAGUCAACUGGAAACGCCAGCCAAAGCCCGCCGGGAGAAACGGACGUCUGAGCACAGAUAUAGGCUAACAUCUUACCGGCAUUUCCUGCAGUGGAUACUGCAAGGUGAGAGACUUGGGAGAGGCAAUCGCCUUGUUUUGCCAGCGUGUGUUGUCCAGGCCAUCAGGGCUAAUUACCCAACACAAGAUGGGCAGUACCGUGGCUACCAGGAGACGGUAGAUGCCCAAGAUGAGCUGUGAUAUUUAGCAAACUCUCCAUACGUUUUGUUUUUGUAUAUAGUUUAUAUUUUAUGAAUAAAACUUCAAAUUCAUGUUGGUUGUUGUGAUUUGUUUACUAUACCAAAUGAUGUUACACUAAAGUAGGCCUGCUGUAUAAGAUGAACACUUAUUUCAA